This 486-nucleotide ribosomal RNA is filed under the name uncultured bacterium. Its description in RNAcentral is "partial 16S ribosomal RNA". It matches the Rfam family "Bacterial small subunit ribosomal RNA", at positions 30 to 507 of the family's 1533-position model. The record is from RNAcentral.
AUUGAACGCUGGCGGCAUGCCUUACACAUGCCAGUCGAACGGCAGCACGGGUGCUUGCACCUGGUGGCGAGUGGCGAACGGGUGAGUAAUACAUCGGAACAUGUCCCGUAGUGGGGGAUAGCCCGGCGAAAGCCGGAUUAAUACCGCAUACGAUCUACGGAUGACAGCGGGGGACCUUCGGGCCUCGCGCUAUAGGGUUGGCCGAUGCCUGAUUAGCUAGUUGGUGGGGUAAAGGCCUACCAAGGCGACGAUCAGUAGCUGAUCUGAGAGGGCGACCAGCCACACUGGAACUGAGACACGGCCCAGACUCCUACGGGAGGCAGCAGUGGGGAAUGUUGGACAAUGGGCGAAAGCCUGAUCCAGCAAUGCCGCGUGUGUGAAGAAGGCCUUCGGGUUGUAAAGCACUUUUGUCCGGAAAGAAAUCCUUGGCCCUAAUACGGUCGGGGGAUGACGGUACCGGAAGAAUAAGCACCGGCUAACUACGUG